AACGCGAAGAACCUUACCAAGGCUUGACAUGCAUCUCUAAGCGCGUGAAAGCGCGUGACCCUUCGGGGGAUUUGCACAGGUGCUGCAUGGCCGUCGUCAGCUCGUGUCGUGAGAUGUUGGGUUAAGUCCCGCAACGAGCGCAACCCUUGUGACUAGUUGCCAGCACGUCAUGGUGGGAACUCUAGUCAGACUGCCCAGAUCAACUGGGAGGAAGGUGGGGACGACGUCAGGUCAGUAUGGCCCUUACGCCUUGGGCUGCACACGUACUACAAUGCCCAGCACAAUGAGAACCGAUACCGCGAGGUGGAGGAAAUCUGUAAAACUGGGCUCAGUUCGGAUUGGAGGCUGCAACUCGCCUCCAUGAAGUUGGAAUCGCUAGUAAUGGUGCAUCAUCUACGGCACCGUGAAUACGUUCCCGGGUCUUGUACACACCGAAU
Molecule: ribosomal RNA, 437 nt
Filed under: uncultured freshwater bacterium
Lineage: Bacteria
Description: bacterial SSU rRNA
Rfam family: Bacterial small subunit ribosomal RNA
Source: RNAcentral